This 864-nucleotide long non-coding RNA is filed under the name Rattus norvegicus (Norway rat). RNAcentral describes it as "long non-coding RNA NONRATT031889". The record is from RNAcentral. Lineage: Eukaryota; Metazoa; Chordata; Mammalia; Rodentia; Muridae.
UAGGGCUAGGCCAGGUCAUGCUAGAGCACUGGGCUUUCUGGACUGAGUACUACUAAAAGAAAACAAACCAGAACUUUGUCCAUUUGUAGCAAACCUUACACUACUGCUUCGAACCUUACAGGGCCUGAUGCUGGACGACAGGCAGGAGCACACAACUGUGCACAGCAGGGCUGCUGCCCCUGCCUGCCCUCUGACUCACAGUCAGCCGCCAGCGUCCGAUUCCUUGAUUCCUGGCUUUUCGUUUACAAUAAUUCCUUUAUUCUUUUCUGUAGCUAUGACCACUGUAGAGGGCGGCAUAUAUAAAGGAGACACAACUUCUGCCACUGAGGCUCAACAUUUAUGCUCACCUAAGUACCCAGAGUCUAAAAAGAAAGCGGCAGCAUCAGAAUCAGAGCACUCCUUUGGAAUCCUGAAAGCAGAUUUUGCCAUCCCAGCACUGAGGGAUCCAGAAGAGAUGAAAGACCAACUUUUGAGCGAGAUCCAAGAAGUCUUAAAGCUUAUACUAGGUCACGAGGAAUUCACCCUGAAAUGGAUCGGCUCCGAAGUGAACAAAAAAUAGCAAACCCACUCGCUUUCACUUUCCUUAGGCUCUCUUCCAGGUGGUCUUUAGGGUUUUGUCUUCAGGUUUUUUGUUUUAAAUUCCUAAGAAGCACAAGGUUAGAAAUAACUUCAAAUAUUCUAAGAUGAACAGGCUUACAUGUAGCACAAAAGAAAAGGAUGUAUGAAUGAGCGUCCUUGGAUUUUAUUCGAUGAGGAGGGUAAGCUGAAGAGAGCAGGGCUUGUACAAUGGAGAACAAGACAACUGCUCCCUGAACCAGACAAGAGAAGUGUGUGUGUGUGUGUGUGUGUGUGUGUGUGUGUGUG